This 1500-nucleotide small RNA is filed under the name Pan troglodytes (chimpanzee). RNAcentral's name for it is "processed transcript". Lineage: Eukaryota; Metazoa; Chordata; Mammalia; Primates; Hominidae. The record is from RNAcentral.
GCAAUCUCGGCUGGCUGCAAGCUCCGCCUCCCUCCCAGUAGCUAGGACUACAGGCCUACAGGCGCCCGCCACCACACUCGGCUAAUUUUCUGUAUUUUUAGUAGAGACAGGCUUUCACCGUGUUAGCCAGGAUUCUUAUUUGUAGUAAUCAAGCACACUGAUUCUAACUUAACAGAGCAGAACAUCAAUGUAUUAGUUUUCAAAGAGGGCUCUAUUUGCCCUAGGUCCGUGGUUACCAAGAAACAAGGCUAUUUUCUAAUUGUUGUAGGCCAAGGAUUUCAGAGGGCUUGAUAGGGGUCUGGGACUUGUGUCUAUGGAAUAGCAGGAAUAGAAGAUGAACUUGGGUCAUGUGAAGGGUAUUUGACUUCAAAUUAUUAACACUGGAGACAAGAACAUGGUUGGAGAGUGGGCCUUACCAGAAGAAAUGGUUGACAAUUUACCACCCUCCAACAAUUGCAUACUGGGCCAUAUUCUUCACAGGCUAGUUGAAAAAUCUCUUCCUCCUCGAGCGGAAUCAACAACACCUGAAUUACCUUCAUUUGCUGUUAAAGGAUGCUUAUUGGGGAAAACAUUAAGUGGAAAAACUACCAUUUUAAGGUCUCUACAAAAAGACUUUCCUAUACAGAUACUUUCUAUUGACACUCUUGUCCAAGAAGCUAUCCAAGCAUUUCAUGACAAUGAAAAAGUCAGUGAGGUUCUACCAAUUCAGAAAAAAGAUGAAGAAGAUGCUCUACCAGUUCUGCAAGAGGAGAUUAAAGAAAGCCAGGAUCCACAACAUGUAUUUUCAGCUGGUCCAGUUUCAGAUGAAGUAUUACCAGAAACAGAAGGUGGUAAUGCUGAUAAAACACCAAAAGCUGAAGAAGUCAAAUCAAGUGAUAGUUUCUUAAAACUCACUACACGUGCUCAGCUUGGUGCAAAAUCAGAACAGUUGCUGAAGAAAGGAAAGAGCAUUCCUGAUGUGCUGCUUGUUGACAUCAUGGUAAAUGCUAUUAACAAGAUACCUGUGAAUCAAGACUGUAUCCUAGAUGGUUUUCCAAUGACUUUAAACCAAGCACAGCUUCUGGAAGAAGCUCUUACAGGCUGCAAUAGAAACCUCACAGAAGUGGAAAGAAAAAAAGCACAAAAAUCCACAUUGGCUAUUGAUCCUGCGACUUCCAAAGAAAUACCUCUUCCCUCUCCUGCAUUUGAUUUUGUCAUAUUAUUAGAUGUUUCAGAUACUUCCUCAAUGAGUCGCAUGAAUGAUAUUAUAGCUGAAGAAUUGUCCUAUAAAACUGCUCACGAAGAUAUCAGUCAACGUGUAGCUGCUGAAAACCAAGAUAAGGAUGGAGACCAAAAUUUAAGAGACCAGAUACAACAUAGAAUUAUAGGCUUCUUGGACAACUGGCCUUUAUUGGAGCAAUGGUUUUCAGAGCCAGAAAAUAUUUUGAUAAAAAUCAAUGCUGAAAUAGAUAAGGAAUCUUUAUGUGAAAAAGUAAAAGAAAUUCUUACGACUGAAAUAGC